AGUGAACGCUGGCGGUAGGCCUAACACAUGCAAGUCGAACGGCAGCACAGUAAGAGCUUGCUCUUACGGGUGGCGAGUGGCGGACGGGUGAGGAAUACAUCGGAAUCUACUUUUUCGUGGGGGAUAUCGUAGGGCAACUUCCAAUAAUACCGCAUACGACCUACGGGUGAAAGCAGGGGAUCUUCGCACCUUGCGCGAUACAAUGAGACGAUGUCGGAUUAGCUAGUUGGCGGGGUAAAGGCCCACCAAGGCGACGCUCCGUAGCUGGUCUGAGCGGAUGAUCAGCCACACUGGAACUGGGACACGGGCCAGACUCCUACGGGAGGCAGCAGGGGGGAAUAUUGGACAAUGGGCGCAAGCCUGAACCAGCCAUACCGCGUGGGUUAAGAAGGCCUUCGGGUUGUAAAGCCCUUUUGUUGGGAAAGAAAAGCAGCAGGUUAAUACCCUGCUGUUCUGACGGUACCCUAAGAAUAAGCACCGGCUAACUUCGUG
RNAcentral lists this ribosomal RNA (492 nucleotides) under uncultured bacterium. Its description in RNAcentral is "partial 16S ribosomal RNA". It matches the Rfam family "Bacterial small subunit ribosomal RNA", at positions 29 to 507 of the family's 1533-position model. The record is from RNAcentral.